CCGUCCAUCUAUCAAUUCAACAAAUCCAACGGCUCAGCCUCUCCUCCCCGUUCCCAUCACCCCCUCCCUCCCCAAACCCCCAACCCCCCCGGAGACCACGGCUCACCCAAAAAUUACGCCACCUCUCCCCUGCCAACGCGCCGCGCCGCCGUCGCCCCGUCAUCCCUCCCACUACACCUCAACCGCCCCCUCCACCGUGCCGGCCACCCCCUCUUCGAGCAUCCUUUCUACUCCGAUGGCUCAGCAGAGCUCGAGCGUCAUUCGUCACCCACUGCCUACCCCCCACCCCAUGGUGCCACCCUGGUAGAUCGCCAUCACUCACGGUGUCGCCCAAGAAGUUCGUCGGGCUCCUUGCUCCUUCCCCAUCACAUGGGCCUCCUCGCCGGUGAUCUCCUCCCUUCUCACCGUCAAGUAAAGUCGUCGAUCCCCCGCUGCUGCCACACCUUGUCACAUUCCAGUGCAUGCCCUCGCCCAUAUGGCCAGAUCAACUUGUUUGGAUCGCAUCGCUCAAGCUGGGUUGCUCUGUUGGCUUUCGUAAUUACCGUCGUGGCCGCGCCCUUCUGUUUGUUGGUCUCACUCACCAUGGUGGCUUCUUCCUCUGAACUGGACCGUUGGAAUGCCAGGAAUCUUAGUGGCGACAGUGAUCAAAGCCAACUUGACCCUGUCUGGAUUGAGGAUCUCAAGCUCUCUAUUCCUCAGCAGUACGGUCCUCGCAUGUUGGUAAUCAACUCACAGGAUCUAAAAUCAUUGAAAGUUUAUAAUGUGUUUCUGAUGAGUUCGUCCAAACCUCACUUUCUUUUCAUCCAGCAAGUGUUCAAUGGGUGGCAAUUUUCUCAGCUAGCAACAACAGCAGUUGAUGACUGCCAAUGCUCACUUUAUGUUGGUGACUCAAUUCUUAAGUUAUUUCAAAAUAAUUUUAACAGCGCAACAUGUUCUUUAUUGAUCCUGUACCAACCUCAUGAAAUCGAUCGGUCUGAACAUAUGGAUGAUUUAGCCCACACAACAAAUCAAUGCGAUUUGGAAUUUAAUUAUUUGGUUAGUAUUCACUAUUCAGGUGUAUGCAUUAAGUCUCAUGUUAUAUGUAGGUUUAAUAAUAUCCAUUGCUUCUUGAUACAGUACUUGUCAUAUUCCAAAAAGGUGAAAAGAUUGGUGUUAAAGUUAGAAUAUUGCUGCAGCUAG
This 1179-nucleotide long non-coding RNA is filed under the name Oryza sativa Indica Group (long-grained rice). RNAcentral describes it as "lncRNA OsZS97_07G009370". Lineage: Eukaryota; Viridiplantae; Streptophyta; Magnoliopsida; Poales; Poaceae. The record is from RNAcentral.